CCACUCGAAGAUGAUGAGUUGCUAUCGUACAUGCUGCGAGACCUUGGAUCUGAAUUUGAUCCUCUAGUGACAAGCAUCACCACUCGUGCUAAUGCUAUGAUGGUAAGUGAUGUGUAUGCUCAUAUGCUUGGAUUUGAGU
Small nucleolar RNA from Phragmites australis (common reed), 139 nucleotides. RefSeq annotates it as small nucleolar RNA Z247. The transcript has a single exon. The record is from RefSeq and is a predicted model, not a curated record. NCBI's taxonomy places the organism in Eukaryota, Viridiplantae, Streptophyta, Magnoliopsida, Poales, Poaceae.